GGACCCGCACAAGUAGUGGAGCAUGUGGUUUAAUUCGAAGAUACGCGCAGAACCUUACCAACACUUGACAUGUUCGUCGCGACUUUAAGAGAUUAAAGUUUUCGGUUCGGCCGGACGAAACACAGGUGCUGCAUGGCUGUCGUCAGCUCGUGUCGUGAGAUGUUGGGUUAAGUCCCGCAACGAGCGCAACCCUCACUUUUAGUUGCCAUCAUUAAGUUGGGCACUCUGAAAGAACUGCCAGUGAUAAGCUGGAGGAAGGUGGGGAUGACGUCAAGUCCUCAUGGCCCUUACGUGUUGGGCUACACACGUGCUACAAUGGCAAGUACAACGAGUCGCAAUACCGCGAGGUGGAGCAAAUCUCUUAAAGCUUGUCUCAGUUCGGAUAGGAGUCUGCAACUCGACUCCUUGAAGUUGGAGUC
Molecule: ribosomal RNA, 419 nt
Filed under: uncultured bacterium
Lineage: Bacteria
Description: bacterial SSU rRNA
Rfam family: Bacterial small subunit ribosomal RNA
Source: RNAcentral